RNAcentral lists this long non-coding RNA (3580 nucleotides) under Amphibalanus amphitrite. RNAcentral's name for it is "uncharacterized LOC122373244". Lineage: Eukaryota; Metazoa; Arthropoda; Thecostraca; Balanomorpha; Balanidae. The record is from RNAcentral.
UUCCAUGCGCUUGAAGAAAAUCUAAACACAAUGCCUACGUCCUACACUGUAUGUGGAUACCCUGUACUGUCCUUCUCAACUGUAUUUCUAUAAUUCUGUCUUCAUUCUAAAUAUUGGUAUUUUCAUUGAAUUCAUUUUCAUAUCCGAGUGGUGUUAAUCGUUGUUAUCCGUACACGUACGAAUACAACACCUUACACGUUCUCCAGCUUUCAGGGACUACUUCUUGAUAAAGCUUCACUUAUUAAUGCUUCAUUUAUCUCGAACCUGUCCACCCUACCCCGAGCCUUUUGAGCGUCAACUUAUUUAUGCCUAAUAUUUUAGAAUGUGGAGGUAUCGGUGGAAAUUCGCUGUGCUGAAGGUAUGAGGGGUCUCCCUCCACACAGUUAUUUAUCAAGAAAAGUUCUUGAUCACCCAUCACGCGCUAGUUUUCUGUAGCCCAUGUCGCCCAUCGGCAUUGCUUAAAUCACGCUGAAUGAGAAACGCCAAACUGGGAAUCAGGACAUAGGCUGUAACUAUAUAAAUGAUGUAGUAGCGAUAUGAAUAGCCUGAAUAGCUAGCUCAAUACCUUGAAAGCUAUAGCAAUUUGAGGUCCCGACGCAAAAUAGCUGCCCGAUUUACAUCAGCCAGGACGGCAUUGGUAGGCUUUCAUUCGGUGGAUGGUGGACCUAUUUCUGUUUUUGUGUGGCGUAUACACGUUUCUGUCUCGUGAGAGUACCCAGCAGUUGUGCGAUGGUGUCAUAGUAGGUCACCUGUGAAAUUAAAUUUUAGUUCAUUCAUAGGUGUUUGCUAACCCGUGCUCUAUGUCAAUAUCAAGUCAAGGUAUAGGUAUAGAAUUAUAGCUAAGUGUCCGUUUACAAGACCUUAUAUAAUGUUCUAAUGAUGAUGAGAAGGAGUAAAUAUUAGAACUGUUGUCAAGCUCCUCCUAACCGCGCUCAGUCGAGGCCGGAAAUGUCAUUAAGUUCCUCGCCCCUUUACUCACAUGGGUCACACUCUCAAGCUCAUGUGCGAGUUUCAUGUGAGAGGAAAUGGUGUUUUACGACAUUUGUAAGCAACGAAGGAGGUAUUCCUUAUAUCGAGCCUGUCUAUUACUAGCUUUUUCUCACAGGAUCACGAACAUGUGUUCACUUUUUGAAUCGCAGUGAGCAGAUGAGUGACGCUUAUUUAUCUGAUCUAAUAUUGUUUGCACAUUGGGAUAGGUUAGUUGGAUUCUACCCAAUCGAUGCUGAGUGUUGCAGGAUGUAAUUUUAAUACACAUCGCUCGAUGAAUGGACAUAUAUUUUUUUUCGAAGCAGCCGAAUUUCCCCUGGAAAACGUACACGACGAACGUCACACAGGCUGAGCUCGUUGGGUCCAAUCCGUAAGCAUCAUCAGAAUUAUCUCCUGUCCAUUACUUACCCCUGGCCUACCGUUUGGCAAUGUUGGUUUUGCUCGUUGGCAAAUUCACGUGUCAUCACCAUUCACGAAUGCACUGCAUGGUGCAUAGCUACGUCUCAGCGUCCGUCUUUAAGUGCGGUCCUCCUCACAUUUUAUGUAUUUUUAUCAGCAUCAAAUAGCUUUGAUUUUUAUAUUCCAAAGUUCCUACCGCAUAUGCAAAGAAGCGAAACCAGAUUUUUUUGAAGGGGUGAUAGCGAUGUUCAAUCCGCAGCGUUUGAAUUUCCUUCUCUGGAGAUCCGCCACUGCGAGUUGUUAUCUUUGAAUCUAAUCGAUGAAUGCCUGUCAAUCGUUUCCCACCGCCUCUACUCCCUGCAGUAAAGGAUAGUGUGAGUUACACACAAUUAGAAAAUAGGUAUAAUUAAACUCAAUGAUCAAGUCAAAUACAAACAAAUAAAAUGCGUAAUAAAAAUUGAACAUACAUCAUGAUAUUUGUUCUAUUGUUGCAGUUUUCUUCAUUGCUGUAGUAGGUAUUUAAUUCGAAUUUAAAGCAAUUUCUGCAUCAUGUCACAUGUGUUUUUGACGUUCCCUGAACUCUGAAAAUGGCCUUGGGCGAAAUUUACGAAAAUAUUUGCACACAAAGAAGGCUACCUAUUGCGUUUUUCGCUAAUACUUCCACAUUUAGCACCAUGUCAUAAAAUAUUCUGUCUACGUUUUUGGGAUACCAGCUGUUGUAACGUAUUUGCUCGCUGAUCCUUCACUAAAAUGUUCCUUUUUUGUUAGGUGGGUAGAUAAUGAGUAAAGAUGUGGCCAUUCAGAUCUAACGCCCCUUUCUUCGACCCUGCUCCCCCGGAUUCCGUGCCUGGCACCGCCUCUGCCAGCCACUGCGGCCCGCCCCAGUCGCCGUGCCUGGAGCCGCCCGUGCGUCUGUCCUGCCCCCGGGCGGUAUGGGGUCGGCCGGAGCGAGGCUGGCCGUCGCGCCCGCGACCCUUUGCUCGGUGCGCUCGGUGCGGGCGGGCGGCUCGCGGCGUGGUGAAGAACUUUGGUUGAAUACCGCCGAUAUUUUUAAAAGUGUUGGUUUGUCGGGUCAGUGGUCUGGACUGCGGUGCCGCUACCUCCUCUCUGUGCUGUGGAGACGGUCACCGGAGAGGGAGCCGGUCCCGUCACGGGUCCCGCGUCCCAACGACCCGUCAUCGGACCCCGAACGGUCCACUGCUUCAAGACACCACCGAUCUAUCCGCCAAAGACGCCAGUUUAUAUCAGGUGCGGCUGGAAGCUGGUGAAGCUGCUUCAUGACACCACCGGAACCCACCACUGGAGUAAACUGAUCACUGAUCAGUGGGUGCGGCGAGUCGAGACCAAUGGUCUUUGGUUCGCCAGUCAGGAGACUCUGAACGGUGCGGCAGUGCAGGAGGGAGUGUGGCGCCGGACACCUACACCAAAAGAUAAGUUUUUUGCCUGAAUUUUAAAAUUUUAUAUGGUGUGAAUUUAAUGAUAAUUUAUCGUUAAUUUACGGUAGUUUCGACAUUGCUUUGGCCUUUCAGGUUAUAUCCGCUCAUACUAUAAAAUUGUUCUUAAAUUUUGUUCUCAUUUCAUUAAAUGUUCUUGCUCUUGUUCAUGUUUUUCUUCAUUCGUUAAUUCAUUCGUACUCUUAUUUCAGGCUCACCCAAAACCACUGGUUCACCGAUGGUGGCCCUGCUUCAGCACACCAACGGGACCCGCCACAGGAGUCGGCUUACCAGGAUGUCGGACGUUAGGUCAUCGACCUGAGUAGCAGACGUUGAAGAACAUUCAGAAAUGGCCGCUGGUGUCGCCUGAAGCAUCUCAGAUGAGAAAGGGGCUGUCGUUGUUGUGAUGUCUGAAUAAAUACAUGUUUAUUGGGAGGUGGGGAGUGUUGUGACGAGAAGGUGGGUGAAAUAAACCCGCCCUCUCGUAUAUUGCCAUGGGUAGUUGUGGAUAUUCAGGUUCAGGUCAUGAAAGUAUUUUAAAAAAAUUAAUUGGGAGGGGACCGGGGCAUCAACUGACUGUCGCUGACCAAUGGGUAGAUGGGCGAGUUGUGCUACGAUAGUACGAUGCUUUGACGUGAGUGAAUGUUUAGAUUAGUAACCUAGUAGAUUUAGAUUAGUAGGAUGCGGAUUCUGAACAGUAAUCGUCACGCACUUUAAGAUUAAGAAUGUGGAUCACUCAAUACAAUGGUGACUACCAAUAA